This 465-nucleotide ribosomal RNA is filed under the name Vreelandella stevensii. Its description in RNAcentral is "partial 16S ribosomal RNA". It matches the Rfam family "Bacterial small subunit ribosomal RNA", at positions 338 to 795 of the family's 1533-position model. The record is from RNAcentral. Lineage: Bacteria; Pseudomonadati; Pseudomonadota; Gammaproteobacteria; Oceanospirillales; Halomonadaceae.
CCUACGGGUGGCUGCAGUGGGGAAUAUUGGACAAUGGGGGGAACCCUGAUCCAGCCAUGCCGCGUGUGUGAAGAAGGCCCUCGGGUUGUAAAGCACUUUCAGUGAGGAAGAACGCCUGGUGGUUAAUACCCAUCAGGAAAGACAUCACUCACAGAAGAAGCACCGGCUAACUCCGUGCCAGCAGCCGCGGUAAUACGGAGGGUGCGAGCGUUAAUCGGAAUUACUGGGCGUAAAGCGUGCGUAGGUGGCUUGAUAAGCCGGUUGUGAAAGCCCCGGGCUCAACCUGGGAACGGCAUCCGGAACUGUCAAGCUAGAGUGCAGGAGAGGAAGGUAGAAUUCCCAGUGUAGCGGUGAAAUGCGUAGAGAUCGGGAGGAAUACCAGUGGCGAAGGCGGCCUUCUGGACUGACACUGACACUGAGGUGCGAAAGCGUGGGUAGCAAACAGGAUUAGAUACCCUGGUAGUC